UACGAAGGGGGCGAGCGUUGUUCGGAUUUACUGGGCGUAAAGGGCGCGCAGGCGGCCAUCUUUGUCAGGCGUGAAAGCCCCGGGCUUAACCUGGGAGGUGCGCUUGGGACGGGAUGGCUAGAGAUCGGGAGAGGAGAGUGGAAUUCCCAGUGUAGAGGUGAAAUGCGUAGAUAUCAGGAGGAACACCUGCGGUGUAGACGGCUUACUGGACCAUAACUGACGCUGAGGCACGAAAGCGUGGGUAGCAAACAGG
This 253-nucleotide ribosomal RNA is filed under the name uncultured bacterium. RNAcentral describes it as "partial 16S ribosomal RNA". It matches the Rfam family "Bacterial small subunit ribosomal RNA", at positions 524 to 776 of the family's 1533-position model. The record is from RNAcentral.